RNAcentral lists this ribosomal RNA (495 nucleotides) under uncultured bacterium. RNAcentral describes it as "partial 16S ribosomal RNA". It matches the Rfam family "Bacterial small subunit ribosomal RNA", at positions 28 to 507 of the family's 1533-position model. The record is from RNAcentral.
GACGAACGCUGGCGGCGUGCCUAAUACAUGCCAGUAGAACGCUGAAGGAGGAGCUUGCUUCUCUGGAUGAGUUGCGAACGGGUGAGUAACGCGUAGGUAACCUGCCUGGUAGCGGGGGAUAACUAUUGGAAACGAUAGCUAAUACAGCAUAAGAGUAGAUGUUGCAUGACAUUUGCUUAAAAGGUGCAAUUGCAUCACUACCAGAUGGACCUGCGUUGUAUUAGCUAGUUGGUGAGGUAACGGCUCACCAAGGCAACGAUACAUAGCCGACCUGAGAGGGUGAUCGGCCACACUGGGACUGAGACACGGCCCAGACUCCUACGGGAGGCAGCAGUAGGGAAUCUUCGGCAAUGGACGGAAGUCUGACCGAGCAACGCCGCGUGAGUGAAGAAGGUUUUCGGAUCGUAAAGCUCUGUUGUAAGAGAAGAACGAGUGUGAGAGUGGAAAGUUCACACUGUGACGGUAUCUUACCAGAAAGGGACGGCUAACUACGUG